GACGAACGCUGGCGGCGUGCUUAACACAUGCAAGUCGAACGGAAAGGCCCUGCUUUUGUUGGGUGCUCGAGUGGCGAACGGGUGAGUAACACGUGAGUAACCUGCCCUUGACUUCGGGAUAACUUCAGGAAACUGGGGCUAAUACCGGAUAGGAGCUCCUGCUGCAUGGUGGGGGUUGGAAAGUUUCGGCGGUUGGGGAUGGACUCGCGGCUUAUCAGCUUGUUGGUGGGGUAGUGGCUUACCAAGGCUUUGACGGGUAGCCGGCCUGAGAGGGUGACCGGCCACAUUGGGACUGAGAUACGGCCCAGACUCCUACGGGAGGCAGCAGUGGGGAAUAUUGCACAAUGGGCGGAAGCCUGAUGCAGCAACGCCGCGUGCGGGAUGACGGCCUUCGGGUUGUAAACCGCUUUCGCCUGUGACGAAGCGUGAGUGACGGUAAUGGGUAAAGAAGCACCGGCUAACUACGUG
RNAcentral lists this ribosomal RNA (468 nucleotides) under uncultured bacterium. Its description in RNAcentral is "partial 16S ribosomal RNA". It matches the Rfam family "Bacterial small subunit ribosomal RNA", at positions 28 to 507 of the family's 1533-position model. The record is from RNAcentral.